UGGGGAAUUUUGGACAAUGGGCGCAAGCCUGAUCCAGCCAUGCCGCGUGCUGGAUGAAGUCCUUCGGGUCGUAAACUGCUUUUGUACGUAACGAAAAGACUCUGGUUAAUACCUGGGGUCCAUGACGGUACCGUAAGAAUAAGCACCGGCUAACUACGUGCCAGCAUCCGCGGUAAUACGUAGGGUGCGCGCGUUAAUCGGAAUUACUGGGCGUAAAGCGUGCGCAGGCGGUUAUAUAAGACAGAUGUGAAAUCCCCGGGCUCAACCUGGGACAUGCAUUUGAGACUGUAUAGCUAGAGUACGGUAGAGGGGGAUGGAAUUCCGCGUGUAGCAGUGAAAUGCGUAGAUAUGCGGCGGAACACCGAUGGCGAAAGCAAUCCCCUGGGCCUGUAAUGACGCUCAUGCAAGAAAGAGAGGGGAGCAAAAA
Molecule: ribosomal RNA, 427 nt
Filed under: uncultured bacterium
Lineage: Bacteria
Description: bacterial SSU rRNA
Rfam family: Bacterial small subunit ribosomal RNA
Source: RNAcentral